AACAUUAAACACAAAAAACUACGUUACAAUAAUGCCGAGGUUGAGCGAUAAACCCAUGAAAGCAAGGAAGCACCGAGUGAAUCUCGCCUCAGCGCCUGGAACUCGGCCGAGCGGCGCCGCUCGGGACACGCGGCCCUUUCCAGGGACCACGGCUCCGCCACACAGGUGCCCGAUGCUGCAGCAUUAGUGCUGCCUAAUACCAAGUAUUUCCUCUCUUCCACGAGUAAAUGCAGUGAAUUUUGCACAACACCAGGCCGAAAAAUCCCCAUGUGCAGCACGAGGCCUGCAACAGGGCCGGGCGCACCGCAGAACCUUCUCGACUACAGGUCCGGUUUAACCGCGCUCCGGCGCUGGUAACGAUUCCUUGCUUUUAUGUUUUUAUGUCUCAACCAUAACAUUAUUCUAAUGAAGGGCAGAAAGCUUGAGCUGAACUCCACUUCUAGAGUCCAAUAUCCAAGUGACAGCAUGGAUAGUACUGUGCUCCAGAACCACCUCCAUGAUCCUUUUCUGAGCUGUUUAUGGAGCAACAUUUUCCAUGGAAAAUCUGAAAACUGAAAUGAAUGUGAAAAGCUUGAAAAUCUGUAUGAUGCAGUACUGAUUCUUCAGUGCAGAGAAGGACACUGAGAAUUCUGCUCCACGAAUAAAUAUUUCUCUGUAAUUGAAAGCUAUGGUUAAUUGUGGGAGCAUGCAAUUUUUCACCUAGUGUGCCUUCUGCAGAGUAGGGUCUCUCUUGACUUACCCAUUUUUCUAACCUUUAAAACAAAAAAUGGGAUGAGAAACCUGCUGUAAAAAGCCAUGAUAUGCAAAGUUUUGCUGAAUAACACGACAACUACAGUUCAUAAGAGCCAGCCAUGAGGACAAAGCAUUCAGAGAGCAGCUAUUUCAGUCACUUAAGACAAAGGUAACAAUUUAUUCCUUAUUUACUCUCCUUUCUGCUAAGGUUUUGCCCUCUCACCUUGCAGGCAAGCAUCAUUGUUUUGACAGCUGGUCUUGGGGAAGCAGUUGUUUAUGAAUAGCUGUAUUGCUUCCACUCUAACCCUACACACUCUGCUAACUCAGCCCGGUGCCAGACCCCUUCCAGCACCAGGGCAGAGGCUCUUCCUUCCCCUGUCCCCCUGCAGCCUGGGUGCCCAGCAGAGCAGGGCAUCCCCUCCUGCCUUUCCUGCUCCAGCUAAUGGCACAGGACUGUCAUUUACAGCAAGGAGACAGCAAAUGGGGAGUGGAUUUCUGUGCACUGUGGAUUACUGCACAUGGGGUUAUGAGGGGACAUCAGUUCAGGACCUUUACUUUACUCUCAGGACCACAAGUAUGGCUACAGCUGCAUUAUUUUGCUCCCAGCGACCACUGAAACUUGUAGCAGGGACAGAGGAGAGAAGGAGCAGCAAAUUCCAAGCUCAGGAGACAUCUCCUGCACAAAGCUGCAGCAAACUUUGUGUCUGCCUUACAGCUUUUCUGCUCAUCUCUCAGUAGCGAAGGCAAAUGCCAAGUGCUGCUGAGGGAGCAGGGAGCCUUCAGAGUAACAUAUGGGGAAGAGCAGCUCGGGGAAAAGUAAGGACAUGUGGGUAAUUUUUUAUCAUUUGCAGCUCUGUUUUAAACUAAGAACCCUUUGUGUUGGCUGGUUACACCAAAAACAUGUAAUGGCUACAUUCAGGAGAAAAAGAGCUACUGCACUGAUACUCAGUAAUGUGAAAGCAUCUGGUUCAUUAGAAAAGAUGCACAUAAUUCAGAGGUCUUUAUGGUUCACUUACUAAAAUUACAGGAAAUUCAAAGUGCAGAGUGUUCCUGAGCCCUCAUUUCUUAAUUUUAUUAACUAGAGAAGAGACGAAGCUCUGGAAAAAGCAGGUAAAAAAGAGCAGGUCCAGUACUUUAUAUCCCUGUGCUCUUUGUAGUUCUCCUUCCCACCCCCAGUUUGAUGUUCUUUUGCUCUCCCCUGUGCUGGCUUUCCACAGCCUCUGUCCAUACACUGCUGUCCCCUGGUGUGCUGCUCUGCUCCUUCUCCACUUAAGGCACCAUCAGCAGCCAGAGAGGCUUUGGUGGCUGUCACCUCUCAGCUGGGGAUGAGAAAAGAGCCUGGAACAGCUCAGAGGCACUGAAGUGACCUAAGCCUCAAAGCCACCACAAACCCUGAGAAACUCCCUUCCCAAAGCUGUGGAAGGGCCACCACAAGCCAGCCCAAGGCUGAGCCCAGCCUGGUGUCGCAGGGUGAGGCAGCACACCCACAGCAGGGCUGAGGAUGCUGCCUGUGCUGCAGAGCAGGUGCCAUCAUUCACUGCCAUGCCCAGGACAAAGAAAACAAAAGUUCCUUUACCUCUGGGGAAAGGGGUUCUCUUCUCCUUUUCCUCCCCACCAGUGAUACCCCACAAAUAUAAACACCCACCCUCCAAAAACAAUAUACUCUCUAAAUAGAGGCAAUUUAGCUUUGAAGGUCUCCUGGCAGGGGUGGAUGGGAGACAUGGAGUUGCACAGGUCUUUCUUUCACAGCCCUUUUGUGCCAAGACACCGUUCAGAUGCAGGAUUUGCCCAAACACUCAGCCUCAGCCCGCUGCAAGAAGCGGGUUAAUUAACAAUCUACGCAGGCUGGUUAUAGCCAGCAAUAAUCAGCUCUCUGUUUUUCUUUAAGAAAAAAAAUAAGUCAGUAAUUCUUGGAACAUUUAUUAACCCCCUAGUACAGGCAAUUACUGUAAGAUAAAGGUCUGCCAGUCUUGCAUUACCAUAAAUUGCUGCAUGUUGCUUUUCUAUGGCGCAGUAAUAUCCACAACCAGUGUGAAUAAAUGCUAACAUUUGAGUUCUAAGCUUGAUUCAACCCACUUGAUCAAACAUUUUUUUAGCAGGUUUUCACUUUCAGUGGCUGCUGGGCCACAAAAAAAAAAAAUUAUUAUUAUUUUAUACAAGCCAGGAUGGUAUUUCACUGACAGACUGUUUUGUAGCUCAGUUUAAGGUAAUCUCACAUAUUUCCUAACACGCAGAAUGGAAAAGAGAAAGGGGCGGGUGGGAAGUACAAAACCCAAAGAUCGUUCCUGCUGUCUAUUAGGUUUUGUAGUCACAUACAACAUAAAAAAAUAGUAGCAAUAAAAAAAAAAAAAAAAAGGCUUUGUAAUAGACAGAACACUGCCAACCAGCUUUAAAUUGAAUUACACAGCCUGCUAAUCUUUAUGAUGAAAUAAAAUUUCUUUGAACACUACACAUUAUACUAAAAUCUGCAGUGCUUUCUCCUCAACCCCAACCCCUCUCUGCUCAAAGCAACUUCCUCCACCCCAAAACCAUUGUUCUCUCCAGCCUGGAAUGUGAUGCUCUACUAACAGAAAGACUUAUUUUAAUUAGCUAUUGCUAAUAUGGAGUGCACGGUGUGAAAAUGUAGGAGAGAAGUAUUUUUGCACUUUGUA
Molecule: non-coding RNA, 3383 nt
Organism: Cyanistes caeruleus (blue tit)
Lineage: Eukaryota; Metazoa; Chordata; Aves; Passeriformes; Paridae
Source: RefSeq, a predicted model, not a curated record